CUACGGGCUGCAGCAGUAAAGAAUAUUGCGCAAUGGACGAAAGUCUGACGCAGCGACACCGCGUGAUCGAUGAAGCCUUUACGGGUGUAAAGAUCUUUUCUGGAGGAAUAAUUCUGAAGGUACUCCAGGAAUAAGCACCGGCUAACUCCGUGCCAGCAGCCGCGGUAAUACGGAGGGUGCAAGCGUUAUCCGGAAUCACUGGGCAUAAAGAGUUCGUAGGCUGUUUGUUAAGUUGGAUGUAAAAGCCUUAAGCUCAACUUAAGAAGUGUAUCCAAAACUGACAAACUAGAGACUCGCAGAGGUACGUGGAAUUCUGCAUGUAGGAGUAAAAUCCGUUGAUAUGCAGAGGAACACCAAAAGCGAAGGCAGCGUACUGGGCGAGUUCUGACGCUGAGGAACGAAAGCGUGGGUAGCGAACGGGAUUAGAUACCCUAGUAGUC
Molecule: ribosomal RNA, 440 nt
Filed under: uncultured bacterium
Lineage: Bacteria
Description: partial 16S ribosomal RNA
Rfam family: Bacterial small subunit ribosomal RNA
Source: RNAcentral